This 464-nucleotide long non-coding RNA is filed under the name Phoenix dactylifera (date palm). RNAcentral's name for it is "long non-coding RNA (PDAC_LNC004549)". Lineage: Eukaryota; Viridiplantae; Streptophyta; Magnoliopsida; Arecales; Arecaceae. The record is from RNAcentral.
CAAACACAAAAUCUUUGCAAUUUGCAAUGCAAAAGUUGCAAAUUAUGUCACGAAGAGUUUCCACAUUCUUGAACUCCUGACCAACACCCUCUAUAGAGAUUUUCCAAGCAUCAAAAAAAAUUUUUGACUAGGUUCCUCUUCGAUUGGGCUCUUGUUUUUUCGACAACUCGACCGAAUUUACUUGAGUCAUCCUUUGAAACAUUUUUGAAUCUGCAACUCCACUCAACAUUCUGGGAUGGGCCACCAUCUCUACAAUAAGUUAAACAAAAUUUCAGCAUACUAACUAACAAUUUUGUGCUUAAAAUGCACAAACUAAGAAGUGAAAUAUGCAAUACAAGACUAAUUUAAACUAAGAAUAGCAAAACAGAAAUACAUGCAAUUAUCUUGUGCAAUACCUUAUAUCAAUUACCACAUCAGCAACUUCGGUCAGGAAUGAAGAAUAACUAACAACCAUCUCGAUCACC